Molecule: long non-coding RNA, 1121 nt
Filed under: Homo sapiens (human)
Lineage: Eukaryota; Metazoa; Chordata; Mammalia; Primates; Hominidae
Description: HSALNT0147963
Source: RNAcentral
CUAUUUUCUAGAGAUGAGUUUCGCCAUAUUGCCCAGGCUGGUCUCAAACUCCUGAGCUCAAACAAUCUGCUGACCUCGGCCUUCCACAUACUGGGAUUACAGGCGUUAGCCACCACACACGGGCAACUUACCUUAAGAUCAAGCCUCAUUUAAGAUUUUCAAAAAAUUGGAAGAUAGAAUAUUAGAUUUUGUCAUAUUUUUCUAAUAAUAAAUCAGAGAAGCCAGUGAUUGAUUAAAUAAAUAAAUAACAAUGGACUCCAGGUUCUUCAGUUUUGGAACUCGGACUGGCUCUUCUUCCUCCUCAGCCUGCAGACUGCCUACUGUGGGACCUCACAAUCAUAUUUAUUGGCUGGCGGUUCCAAGAUGGCCAAAUAGGAACAGCUCCAGUCUAUAGCUCCCAGCAUGAGUGACGCAGAAGAUGUGUGAUUUCUGCAUUUCCAAUUGAGGUACCAGGUCCAUCUCACUGGGGCUUGUCGGACAGUGGGUGCAGUGCACCAAGUGUGAGCCAAAGCAGGGUGAGGCAUCGCCUCACCUGGAAAGUGCAAGGGGUCAGGGAAUUCCCUUUCCUAGCCAAGCAAAGUGGCGACAGAUGGCACCUGGAAAGUUGGGUCACUCCCACCCUAAUACUGUGCAUUUCCAAUGGUCUUACCAAACGGCACACCAGGAGAUUAUAUCCUGCACCUGGUUUGGAGGGUCCCAUGCCCAUGGAGCCUUGCUCAUUGCUAGCACAGCAGUUUGAGAUCCAACUGCAAGGCAGCAGUGAGGCUGGGGAAAGGGCGCCUGCCAUUGCUGAGGCUUGAGUAGGUAAACAAAGUGGCCAGGAAGCUCGGACUGGGUGGAGCCCACCCCAGCUCAAGGAAGCCUGCCUGCCUCUGUAGGCUCCACCUCUGGGGGCAGGGCAUAGCCAAACAAAUGACAGCAGAAACCUCUGCAGACUUAAAUGUCCCUGUCUGACAGCUUUGAAGAGAGUAGUGGUUCUCCCAGCCCGCAGCUGGAGAUCUGAGAAUGGACAGACUGCCUCCUCAAGUGGGUUCCUGACCCCCGAGUAGCCUAACUGGGAGGCACCCCCCAGUAGGGGCAGACUGACACCUCACACAGCUGGGUACCCCUCUGAGAUGAAA